This 378-nucleotide long non-coding RNA is filed under the name Homo sapiens (human). RNAcentral's name for it is "HSALNT0370547". Lineage: Eukaryota; Metazoa; Chordata; Mammalia; Primates; Hominidae. The record is from RNAcentral.
CACUCAGCUAGGAGGACAGAAGUUACAAUCAUGGAAAUGAUAUCCCAUCACUUUUGUUGUAUUCUAUUGGUUUGAAUCUUUCUAGCAAUGUGGCCAGACUUCUUACAAAACAGCUCCAAGAGGGAACAUUGCAAAUGGCAAAGAAGGAAGCUGGAGAUCUCUGAAGGCCAACCUUGGAAGUCACACAGCAUCACUUCUAGCACAUUUUGUUGGUUAAAAUGUGAAUAUAAAACCUCCAUGAGUCCUAGCAAGUCACUGAAUGUGUGGAUGAUCUCAGAGACCCUUGAAACAGUGACCAUCUCUCAGAAACAAGCUACCACAAAUGGGUGCUCCUAAGGCCCAUAAUGGGAAUCAGGAUUCCCUUUGGAGGCCAGAUGC